UACAGAGGGUGCAAGCGUUAAUCGGAAUUACUGGGCGUAAAGCGCAUGUAGGUGGUUUGGCAAGUUGGAUGUGAAAGCCCUGGGCUUAACCUGGGAACUGCAUUCGAAACUACCAAGCUAGAGUAGAGUAGAGGGAAGUGGAAUUUCCGGUGUAGCGGUGAAAUGCGUAGAUAUCGGAAGGAACACCAGUGGCGAAGGCGGCUUCCUGGACUCAUACUGACACUGAGGUGCGAAAGCGUGGGGAGCAAACAGG
RNAcentral lists this ribosomal RNA (253 nucleotides) under uncultured bacterium. RNAcentral's name for it is "partial 16S ribosomal RNA". It matches the Rfam family "Bacterial small subunit ribosomal RNA", at positions 524 to 776 of the family's 1533-position model. The record is from RNAcentral.